RNAcentral lists this long non-coding RNA (1299 nucleotides) under Anas platyrhynchos platyrhynchos (common mallard). RNAcentral's name for it is "lncRNA (ENSAPLG00000019860.1)". Lineage: Eukaryota; Metazoa; Chordata; Aves; Anseriformes; Anatidae. The record is from RNAcentral.
GCACUCAAAACAAGCAGUAAUGUGUGUCAUUACAAAAAUUACUGGUGACGGCACUUUCUUGCCUCCUAAGCAAUACAGAGCCUUGUUCCUUUACUAGGAGGAAUGAAGAACAUAUCCUGCACCCUGGAUGCAUUUGUGUUUCAGGGAUGGAAGAGCAUAGUGAAACCUUCCUGGUACGAGGGUGCUGGGGCCAGCCACUAGAAGGCAACGUGAUCACACAAACAGCCAAAUGUUACGCUUCCUCAGAACUAGUUAAGCUGAAGCCCUCACUUCUGCUCAAUGCAAUCACUUUUUGUCGCUCAUAUGUGUAAUUAGUAGGGGUUCUAUUAAAAAUGUAGAGUUCUGCAGUGAUUGUGGCACCAUGACGUUUGAGAGGCAAAGCAAAAGAAGAGGCUGUGGCCACUGCUGGCAUGCAGGCAUUUCUGCGUUGUUGGGAUUCAACAGCACUUACUGUAUUUAUCAGCUGUGUUUGCAAACUGGGCUGAUAGCAAUUUACUGGAAAAUAGUUAAAUGCAAAUAAUAGUCUCUUGAUUAUCACUACUGGUUUCUUAGACCUGAAGCUCCAUAUGACUGUGUGAAGGGGAUUUGCUCUGCCAGCUUGCUUCUGUGGACGAUUAGUAACAAACAACUUGUCUCUAUCAGGAAUUUAAUGCUGCCAAAACGCAGUUAAUAUAUCCAUAUGCCUGGGUGGAUACACGACUACAAAAUAGAUGCAGUGCUCCUGUUUCACCUUUUCCCUUUCAUCUCUCUUGUAGCUGAAAGACCCAACAGAUGGUCCUUUCUGUGUUUGUGUGUUAAAACUGGCAUAAAGCUGCCUCUAAGUUUUUUCUGCCUUUUAAUUCUCAAGAAAACAUCUAAAUGGAGGAAGUCUGCUCUGUGGAUCAAAAGAACGGAGCCCAAUUAGCAUGGCUCUCUGCUCGCAGAGUGCUGCCUCAAACUAAGUAUCAUACAUCUUUUAAAUGGACCGUCUUGAUCUCUUAUCACCUGUUUUUUUCAUUUGUUUGCUUGAUUUAUUUGUUGUUUUUCCUAGCAUUCACCUUGAAUUCCACUCUUGUUGCCUGUAAUUAUUUUUUUCUUACACUGGCUUUUGUCUUACACAUGAAUAACAAGGACCUUUUCAUUUAUUCCUUUCUACUUGCUCGUGUCUUUUGUGCAACCUCUUCAGGCACCUGCCACAAGCUGAAGGCUGGAAGAGCAGCCACCAUGUCACUCCCAGAACAUCUUGCUCAACUGUGUGCAGGGGAGGGAAAGAAACCAGAGGGGGAAGAAUCCCAGCAGCAGCCCAGGUCUCAUACAUGA